Molecule: ribosomal RNA, 684 nt
Filed under: uncultured Gammaproteobacteria bacterium
Lineage: Bacteria; Pseudomonadati; Pseudomonadota; Gammaproteobacteria
Description: bacterial SSU rRNA
Rfam family: Bacterial small subunit ribosomal RNA
Source: RNAcentral
CGAACGACCACACAGAACAUGAACGCUGGCGGUAUGUCUAACACAUGCAAGUCGAACGGCAGCGCGCUAGUUCUCUGGGCAACUGGAGAACGGGCGGCGAGUGGCGGACGGGUGAGUAACGCGUAGGAAUCUACUCCAAAGUGGGGGACAACUCGGGGAAACUAGGGCUAAUACCGCAUAUGUUCUACGGAAUAAAGCUGGGGACUACUUCGGUAGCCUAGCGCUUUGGAAUGAGCCUGCGUCAGAUUAGCUUGUUGGUAGGGUAAUGGCCUACCAAGGCAACGAUCUGUAGCUGGUCUGAGAGGACGAUCAGCCACACUGGGACUGAGACACGGCCCAGAAUCCUACGGGAGGCAGCAGUGGGGAAUAUUGGACAAUGGGCGAAAGACUGAUCCAGCAAUACCGCGUGUGUGCAGAAAGCCUACGGGUUGUAAAGCACUUUCAGUAGAGAAGACAUGCUCACAGUUAAUACCCUUGAGAGCUGACUUACACUACGAAGAAGCACCGGCUAACUCUGUGCCCACAGGCGAGGGAAAUCAGAGGGUGCGAAGAGUUAGUCGGAAUUACUCGGCGUAAAGGCACGUAGGUGAUGUAAACGCAGGUGUAAAGCCCUGGGUUAAACUAGGAAAUGCAUCGAUCUGUGAAUCUUUAGUAUAGACAAGGAAGUGAUAUCCCAGCAACCGG